CCUACGGGUGGCAGCAGUGGGGAAUAUUGCACAAUGGGCGCAAGCCUGGUGCAGCGGUGCCGCGUGUGUGAAGAAGGCCUUCGUGUUGUAAAGCACUUUCAGCGGGGGGGAAGGCGUUAAGGUUAAUAACCUUGGCGAUUGACGUUACCCGCAGAAGAAGCACCGGUUAACUCCGUGCCAGCAGCCGCGGUAAUACGGAGGGUGCAAGCGUUAAUCGGAAUUACUGGGCGUAAAGCGCACGCAGGCGGUCUGUCAAGUCGGAUGUGAAAUCCCCGGGCUCAACCUGGGAACUGCAUUCGAAACUGGCAGGCUAGAGUCUUGUAGAGGGGGGUAGAAUUCCAGGUGUAGCGGUGAAAUGCGUAGAGAUCUGGAGGAAUACCGGUGGCGAAGGCGGCCCCCUGGACAAAGACUGACGCUCAGGUGCGAAAGCGUGGGGAGCAAACAGGAUUAGAUACCCGUGUAGUC
RNAcentral lists this ribosomal RNA (465 nucleotides) under uncultured bacterium. Its description in RNAcentral is "bacterial SSU rRNA". It matches the Rfam family "Bacterial small subunit ribosomal RNA", at positions 338 to 795 of the family's 1533-position model. The record is from RNAcentral.